This 440-nucleotide ribosomal RNA is filed under the name uncultured bacterium. RNAcentral describes it as "partial 16S ribosomal RNA". It matches the Rfam family "Bacterial small subunit ribosomal RNA", at positions 338 to 795 of the family's 1533-position model. The record is from RNAcentral.
CCUACGGGAGGCAGCAGUAGGGAAUAUUGCUCAAUGGGGGAAACCCUGAAGCAGCAACGCCGCGUGGAGGAUGAAGGUUUUCGGAUUGUAAACCCCUUUUGUUAGAGAAGAUAAUGACGGUAUCUAAGGCAUAAGCACCGGCUAACUCCGUGCCAGCAGCCGCGGUAAUACGGAGGGUGCAAGCGUUACUCGGAUUUACUGGGCGUAAAGAGCGCGUAGGCGGGAUAGCAAGUCAGAUGUGAAAUCCUAGGGCUUAACCAUAGAACUGCAUUUGAAACUGUCAUUCUAGAGUAUGGGAGAGGUAGGUGGAAUUCUUGGUGUAGGGGUAAAAUCCGUAGAGAUCAAGAGGAAUACUCAUUGCGAAGGCGACCUGCUAGAACAUAACUGACGCUGAUGCUCGAAAGCGUGGGGAGCAAACAGGAUUAGAUACCCCGGUAGUC